UACGUAGGUGGCAAGCGUUAUCCGGAUUUACUGGGUGUAAAGGGCGUGUAGGCGGGACUGCAAGUCAGAUGUGAAACCCAUGGGCUCAACCCAUGGCCUGCAUUUGAAACUGUAGUUCUUGAGUGAUAGAGAGGCAGGCGGAAUUCCGUGUGUAGCGGUGAAAUGCGUAGAUAUACGGAGGAACACCAGUGGCGAAGGCGGCCUGCUGGACAUUAACUGACGCUGAGGCGCGAAAGCGUGGGGAGCAAACAGG
RNAcentral lists this ribosomal RNA (253 nucleotides) under uncultured bacterium. RNAcentral's name for it is "partial 16S ribosomal RNA". It matches the Rfam family "Bacterial small subunit ribosomal RNA", at positions 524 to 776 of the family's 1533-position model. The record is from RNAcentral.